AACGAACGUUAGCGGCGCGCCUAACACAUGCAAGUCGCACGAGAAAGGGAGCAAUCCCCGGUACAGUGGCGCACGGGUGAGUAACACGUAGGUAAUCUGCCUCCGAGUGGUGGAUAACCUUCCGAAAGGAGGGCUAAUACAGCAUGAGACCACGACCACGAGAGUGGAUGGGGUCAAAGCCGGCCUCUAUACAUAAGCUGGCGCUUGGAGAUGAGCCUGCGGCCCAUCAGCUAGUUGGUAGGGUAAUGGCCUACCAAGGCAAAGACGGGUAGCUGGUCUGAGAGGAUGAUCAGCCACACUGGAACUGAGACACGGUCCAGACUCCUACGGGAGGCAGCAGUGGGGAAUCUUGCGCAAUGGGCGAAAGCCUGACGCAGCGACGCCGCGUGGGUGACGAAGGCCUUCGGGUUGUAAAGCCCUGUGGGGGGAGAAGGAAUAAAGUGGGUGCGAAUAGCACACAUGAUGACGGUAUCCCCUUAGCAAGCACCGGCUAACU
RNAcentral lists this ribosomal RNA (496 nucleotides) under uncultured bacterium. RNAcentral describes it as "bacterial SSU rRNA". It matches the Rfam family "Bacterial small subunit ribosomal RNA", at positions 29 to 502 of the family's 1533-position model. The record is from RNAcentral.